This is a long non-coding RNA of Saccostrea cuccullata (small rock oyster), 225 nucleotides long. RefSeq lists it as uncharacterized. The transcript has 3 exons. Lineage: Eukaryota; Metazoa; Mollusca; Bivalvia; Ostreida; Ostreidae. The record is from RefSeq and is a predicted model, not a curated record.
AGUACACCUAUCAUGAGCUAACUCCUGUUGAUCCAAAAUGUUCUGAUCCACUUACAAGAGCUAUUCGAUGUUGCACUGACUACUUAACAAGUGGAGGAAAAUGUUACCCUUGUAUAGACUCAUUCGGAAUCGAGUGCAGCAAAUUAUGUCCUGAGGGAUACCAUGGUGUCAGAUGUCAGGAAAAAUGCCCUUGUAAUACAACACAAACCAAUGUUGGAUGUAAUA